RNAcentral lists this unclassified non-coding RNA (237 nucleotides) under Scedosporium dehoogii. RNAcentral's name for it is "partial internal transcribed spacer region". The stretch from base 1 to 46 matches the Rfam family "Eukaryotic small subunit ribosomal RNA", at positions 1786 to 1831 of the family's 1831-position model. The record is from RNAcentral. Lineage: Eukaryota; Fungi; Ascomycota; Sordariomycetes; Microascales; Microascaceae.
AAGUCGUAACAAGGUCUCCGUUGGUGAACCAGCGGAGGGAUCAUUACAGAGUUACUACUCCAAACCCAUUGUGAACCUUACCUAUGUUCUGUUGCCUCGGCGGCGCGGUCAGCGCCCGAAAGGACGACGGCCCCCGCCGGCAGCACCAAACUCUUGAAUUUUACAGCGGAUUACAGUUCUGAUUUGAAACAAAAAAAAAACAAGUUAAAACUUUCAACAACGGAUCUCUUGGUUCUG